Molecule: long non-coding RNA, 417 nt
Organism: Oreochromis aureus
Lineage: Eukaryota; Metazoa; Chordata; Actinopteri; Cichliformes; Cichlidae
Exons: 3
Source: RefSeq, a predicted model, not a curated record
ACUGUUUUGGUGUCCGGGGGCACGCUGGGGGGGCAGGGAUUCCGACCCGCAUGUAUUUGCAUAUAUUAUAAUGCUGACCAAUGACUGGAGAAAACACUGACGACGCGGCUGCGGUCACGGACAAACUUGCAUAUGUCUGUUCGGGAAUGGCAGAUGCUGAGAGGUCCAGCGUUUACAUUACCAACUAUUUCAAAGUGACAGCCUGAGGUGUUCUUCAGUAAAUUGGACUACCGGACAGGAGGACCUGAGGCCCCACCGUAUUAUUUUUGGAUGCAGCAGCAGAUUGAACCUCGACUGAAACCUGCUCCAUCAUCUCAUCUUUGCAGAUGUCCAUUUAUAAAGCAUCAACAACUCAAAGGAGCCGUCCUCAGAUUCAGACCACAGCACCACCCAGUGACAGCAGACAGAUCAUCCAAC